ACAGCGAUGGGUCCCUUGAUGGUAUCAGACCAUCCCUCCUGUUUGAAAUCAAAAAAAUCAAAUAAGUCGUGGAGUAGAUAUAUGAAAGGUGCUUCGGCUGUGUUUGCAUAUCACAUCUCGAAAGGCGAAAAGAUCACAGUGUUAUCCCCACCUCCUCCAACUCGAUUCCACCCAGAUGGCUUGACCAAUUAUCAAGCUCUAGAGGAGCCGGUUCUGAAAGGUGCAAUUAGAGGGUCUGCGGUAUCAUGCAUUGAAAUGGUGCAUCCGACCGUCAAGGGAGCCGAGGAUUUCUGUUACCAGGUGUGGCCGGCCGAUGACGCCCGUCUCUGGAUUGCAAAGUUCGGGAUGCUGCCUCCAAAGGAACACUGGAGAAUAGUAUCGCCCAAGAAACAAAACCUAAUAGUGAGCCAAACAGAAAUCUUUAUCUCAACGAAGACCAAUAUGCAAAAUGUGUCAGGGUCAGCAAAGGCUCUGACGGAGAAGCAGAAGAGGGAGAAGAAGGAGGUGGAGAUGAGGAAGAAGGUGGAGAAAAAUAUGGAGGAAAAAAGGAAGAUGGAGGAGAAAAGAAAGAUGAAGGAAAAAAGGAAGAUGGAGGAGAAGAGGAAGAUGGAGGAGAAGAGAAAGAUGAAGGAAAAAAGGAAGAUGGAGGAGAAGAGGAAGAUGGAGGAGAAGAGAAAGAUGAAGGAAAAAAGGAAGAUGGAGGAGAAGAGGAAGAUGGAGGAGAAGAGGAAGAUGAAGGAAAAAAGGAAGAUGGAGGAGAAGAGGAAGAUGAAGGAAAAAAGGAAGAUGGAGGAAACGAGGAAGAUGGAGGAGAAAAGGAAGAGGAAGGAAAAGAGGAAGAUGGAGGAAACGAGGAAGAUGGAGAAGAGGAGGAAGAGAUAACUACCAGCGAUGCUUCCA
RNAcentral lists this small RNA (900 nucleotides) under Histoplasma capsulatum var. duboisii H88. RNAcentral describes it as "Histoplasma capsulatum H88 hypothetical RNA". Lineage: Eukaryota; Fungi; Ascomycota; Eurotiomycetes; Onygenales; Ajellomycetaceae. The record is from RNAcentral.